RNAcentral lists this ribosomal RNA (329 nucleotides) under uncultured eukaryote. RNAcentral's name for it is "partial 18S ribosomal RNA". It matches the Rfam family "Eukaryotic small subunit ribosomal RNA", at positions 1470 to 1796 of the family's 1831-position model. The record is from RNAcentral.
CCCUUAGAUGUUCUGGGCCGCACGCGCGCUACACUGAUUCGUUCAUCAAGCAUAUAACCUUGGCCGGGAGGUCUGGGUAAUCUUUCAAAGCGAAUCGUGCUGGGGAUAGAUUAUUGCAAUUAUUAAUCUUCAACGAGGAAUUCCUAGUAAUCGCAUGUCAUCAGCGUGCAAUGAUUACGUCCCUGCCCUUUGUACACACCGCCCGUCGCUACUACCGAUUGAAUGGUUUAGUGAGUAUCACGGACUGUUGCGUCUGGUUGGGUAACCUUCCAUUCGCAUACGGGAAGUGACACAAAUUUGAUCAUUUAGAGGAAGUAAAAGUCGUAACA